AUGGGUUGAGUUGAGUUG
This 18-nucleotide non-coding RNA is filed under the name Arabidopsis thaliana (thale cress). The record is from RNAcentral. Lineage: Eukaryota; Viridiplantae; Streptophyta; Magnoliopsida; Brassicales; Brassicaceae.